Molecule: long non-coding RNA, 13694 nt
Organism: Cavia porcellus (domestic guinea pig)
Lineage: Eukaryota; Metazoa; Chordata; Mammalia; Rodentia; Caviidae
Exons: 3
Source: RefSeq, a predicted model, not a curated record
CAUUCACUUUUGAAUAUUGUAGUUCAUUUUAUUUGAACCUUAAAGAAAGAUACCAUUUUGAAGCACUGUCUUUUAUAUCCACACGAUUCCUCCCCUUUAUGAGGUAAUAUAUACUUGUUACAUAUUCAAACCAAAUGAAGUAUGUAAAAUAAAGAUUUGGCUAUUUUUUGGUGCCAAAUCUUUGGAAUUAAUCACCCCAAAAUCAGGCAAAUUGAGAUGGCUUUGGUAACAAUAGGUUGGCUGUUAGUGAAUUUUUUUCAGCCAAAUUACUAGCAGCACAGGCGGCACUGGGUCAGUGUGGAUGAAUUCUUUAUGAAACUCAAGAUGCCACUGAAAAUAGAUGUCAUUUUGAAACAUCUCCUCCCAGUGAGUUGUGCCAAAACGUUCUCUUUUGGCUUUGGCACAGUGAAUUGCUGCAGGACAGGCUCAUUAACUCAAGGAGAGCUCCAAACUUUUUUGUGUUAAGAUGUUUCUAUUUAGCAAGAUGCACCAGGCAGUUAAAAAAACAAAACAAAACAAAACAAAAUUCUGAGAAGAAAACAAGAGGAAAAAAAGAGUUCACAUGUUUUUUCACAUUAUUUAGAAAUAUACCCAUACGCUAAGGACUGGACAAAUCUUACAUAUACAGAUUAAACCAGGGAGACGUAAAUCUUGUUCCUCUUGGUUUUUUUGAGCUUUGCAGUUCACCUGAUCUUUCAUUUUGCAGCAAAGGCAGAACCUUGGUGGUGGCAAAAUGGGAUUACCUUUCACAAGCUUUUUUGACACACUCAAACCAGGAUCUGUUAGUCUUCCUUCUUGAACCAAGGAAGAAAGUGGUUCAGAAGAGAUGGGAAACACAAGUGCCUGCAAUUUUUCACUUGAUUAAACCCUGACAGCCAUCCUGCUUGUUCCUGAAAUGGAGGGGAAAGAAGGUUAAAAAAAAAAAAAAAAAGGAACCAGGUGAGAGGGAGGACAGAGAAGCUGCACCGCGUUUGUGCAGCCCAGGAAGGCAGUGCGCGGCCACCUGGCUCCCCUCUCCAGCCUUUGGCUGGCCGAUGGCAUCGCUCCAUCAGAUUACAUGUCCGCUGAGCUCAAACACAGCUCGCAAUCUUGCUCCAUGUAGCUGCCUGGGCAGCUGCUACCAAUUGAUCUAGUUUGGAUUAUGAGAAUGAUAGUACAUUAUUUAUUCAUUUAUUCAACAUUUAUUGAACAUUAACUGUGCCAGGCAUAGGAGAGGCACCAGGGGCAAGACACGAAAUUUGUAUUCUAAUGAAAAUGAAACCUUUUAUUACACUUUCUGGCCCUACACAUUUGCUUGGCAAGCAGUAGAUGCUCAAUAAAUUUUUUGUUGUUGUCGCAUUGCACCGAACUGGCUUCUGAAGAGCAUUCCGGUGUCAGUUAACCCAGCUGAGACGUGAAGUGUGGUUAUGGUUCUCCCUCAAAUAAUGAGAACAUUUGUUCCACCCUGAUUCACUUCCUGCUCAGAGUUUAUUAAAAAUACACUCACUGUCAAGAUUCGUCCUCAGCUUGAUGUAUUUCGAGGGAUAGGUGGCUCACCAGAAGAACCAUACACAGAAUCCUACCUCACCUCUGAAAUCUGACCUCUAGAUGUCUUUCAGAUUCGCUGAUUUGAUUGGAUUCUUGCUAGAACAAAACAUCAGACUCCAACCUCAAAGGAAAUAAAUUAGGCUGUGCCACGCGAGGACAAAUGGUUGACAUUGCGCUCUUGGGAACAUCUUGUGUGCAGCUGUGAACAGCUGAGUUAGUGCCAGUUAAGCUGCGAUAGCAUCACUGGGGAGAGAGAUGAAGGGCGAUUCAUUCACGAAGUGCUGUUCAAAGGGUGUCCUAAAGAUUUAUUUUCUGCUAUCUCCCUUCUCUCUAAAAUUUACACGGGGGUGGAAUGAUUGGAUGCUGUAAUUCUGCUGGAAUUGCCGCUCUUCUCCAUCGGGAUUGGUGUUGCAGGAUGAUGUGCACUUGGCAUUCAUAAACAGAAAGGAAACAAGAAAAAGCACCCUUUCACUUCACAGAGAGGAUCCCUGUCUGACUGUCUUGAGUGAUGCUUUAACCAGUUAUUCAUUUCCUUAUGAAUAAGCCUCAGUUGUACUCUCUUCUGGCAAAGAAAAGCACAAGAUGAACAGACGAGAAGGAUUCCCUCAAAGAGCAGCUUUAUCACUCUCAUUUGCAGUUUCAGUCCUCAGAAUGAAGCUAUUGGCUGUGUGUCCACUGACCACAGAUGGUCACUCCUCGCAUGGACAGGGGUGGAGUCAGCGACUAACUGGCAAUGAAGGGGGCAAAGGAAGCAGCAAUCAGAAGGCGUCUUGUAGAAAGAGACUGAAAUGGCAUCUGGACAUGUUUUAAACAGACUUCGUCUGGGGCUGGAAAGGGGAUGGCGCGUGUGAGAUGCUCUAGCACCCCAGAGUGAGAAAGCAAAGCAGCGGAAUUGAAAUGCAGUGGGGGGACCUUUAAAGUCACUGUUCCCAAACGCAGAUCCAGUCUGUGUCCCGGAUGCCCAGAGACAUCCCUCCCAAACUCACUGGGCCUCCGAGCUCCUGGCCUCAUUUAUAUGCAGAAUCCCUGGGAGAAGAGUUUUUCUCACUGCUCUCUAGAUGAAUCCAGAGUAUGUAGCUAGAUUUGUGAAUUACUAGUAGAUCCUGCCUGAACAAAUGAACAAAAAUAAAGCAGAUGAAAGACAGAGGAAGAAAAAACUGCAUGCAAGGGAAGUAAAACAGAAGUCUCAUCUUUUUGGUUGAUGCCAAUCAGUACAUCACAAUUUUGUAAUCUCUAAAGGCAACUGGCCCCCCAUAGCCACAAAUGCCACAUGUAUGGAGGCCACCAACCAUGCAUUAAAAACAGUCAGGAAAAAAGUGCAUUUCUACAGAAUGUGUGCAGACUUUUUCCUUCUUACAAUUCCCUGAAUGCAUUGUAACAAUUAUCACAUUGCAAUGUUUCCAUAUUAUAAUGAGCCUGAAGAUGCUAUAAGGUAUCCCAGAGAAUGUAUGUAGAUUCUCUGUAAAUACUACAUCACUUUGUAUAAGGGGUUGGAGCAGCCACUAAUUUUGAUAUGGGGAAGUUGGUACUUCCAACUGGUACUGGUACUGGUGCUCCCUGGGUACUGAGGGAGGCUUAUGUAUCCCUUUCUGAUCCAAUUUUUUUAUUCCUAAAUCUUUUAAUAUUUAAAUUUUGAGGAAUUUUGUGAGUGAGGUAAGAUUCAUAAAGUCUCCUUCACACACAAGGCACUGCGAGAAGACGCCCACAUGAGAGGUUGAAGACGCAGGAUCUGAGCCCAGAGCCUGUGUCUGCCGGAUCUGUCUUCUCCACGCAGGUGGAAGGCCAGGGCAGACACAGUCUGAUGAGCUGUGCCUCACAGAGAUGCAUGACGGGGUGCAGCAGGAACCGUGUGGAAGGCACAAAGAGAAACCCACGAGUUCCUGUGGAUUUCACGGGGAGGCUGCAACCCGCACGGAUGCAGAAGGGGGCUCUCUGGAGGCGGUGAUGCCGGCUUUGAAAUCUCAAGUGAUGAAUCAAAGCCAGUCAGAAAAAGAAUGAAGGCCAUUCCAGGUAGAGCAAAGCCUCAGAGAAAAGAGAAAGUAGCUCCUGACAUCUCUCAGGAAAGGGUGAAUGGAUACAAAGUGGCUGGAGUAAAAAACUAUUCAAUUAUUGAAACUUAACUAUUAAUGGUUAUGUAAUUGAGACUAAUUUGAGGUAUCACAAUCAUUUAUAGUAACUGACAGAAAUGGUAAUUGUGAUGUUCCAAUUUGUAUUGGAUAAUGAGUCAUUCCACAUAUGAGAGGCAUCAAACAAUGCAUUAUUUAUGCUCUUGGAGUCUGUGGGUCGGGGAUUCUGACACUGCAUAGGUGGGCAACUAGGUCACUUCCUUUUGUCAGGUCUCAGCUAGCGGUGAUCUGACCACUGGGGCUAACGGGUCCACUUCAAAGAGGCAUCCACGGCCUUAGCAGUGGGCACAGGAGACUGAACAUAAGUGGGACUGCUGGCAAGAGCAGCGCCCUCUGCAGCAGAGAAGCAGAAUUUCUUCAGAAGUGGACCCGUGUCCCUGUGAACAGAUCAGGGUCAAGAGAGUGCCUUGAUCGGCCUUGACAGAUACAAAGUGUUGGCUUCAGCGUAUUCUAUCACUGCGCCAGGCACAGCCUGUCCAGACUCAAAGGGAGGGGGCCAAAAAGCACCAAAGAGUUUAAAGCUACUAUGUGGAAUUAGCAUCUAUGGAACACUUCCUGUGUACCUAAUACUAUCAAAUGUCCUCAGAUCUCACCAUAACAGUAUGACACAUAUGCCAUUAUCAUCUUCAGUUUACACAUGAGGGGCCAAAGACUCAGGAAAGAUGUGUAACUUGUCUAAUGUCCUAAGUAGCUAGCCUGGGAAGUGAACCCAGAUUUGUAGAAUUUGAAGCUUUAAACUGUAUCUCCUUGGUAUUCUUUGUGACUCAGUCCUGACUUCUGGUCCACUUGCACAGUAGAAUCAUUGUAACUAUUUGCAAAAAUAAAGUCUUCUCAAUUAUAUAUCUAAGAGGACUCCACUGGGAGGCACCAUCAUGGUCAGAGAGGACCACACUCCGUCAGAAGCAGAAUCCUUGCAAACCGACGGCUGUUCAGGCUUCCAGUCUAACAGCUACAUGUCAUACAGCUGUGGAAAUCAUUCUCCCUGGAUGCGAUCAUUCCCCAAGGCCUUCUUUCUGCAUCCUGAAAUCACGGACAACUAUGAAGUGGAAAAUGCUUCUGGAUCAAAGUUCUCUCAUCACCAGGAAGAAAUAAUACGAGUUUGAAACGUUCAUACUUUGGAAUAUGAAAAAUAUCUUUUGAUUAUGUUGUAUAACAUAACAAUUGGAAGAGGAAUCAGUAGCAUCUCAACACAAAUAAAUAUUUUUCAUUUAUUCAUUAAUGCCAAAAAUAUACAGGGACACCAACUAUGUACCAGGCACUGGGCUGGAUUAUGAAGAUGUUCUGGAAUGAGACAGAAAGGGUCCCCCACAGAGUUUAUGGUCUAGUGCAGGAGACACAGAAAAACUAAGCAGUUAUUUCCACAAACAAUAGUUAAUAUCAUUCCCAAAGUAUUGUGAAAAAACCUAAGAAGGUAACAAGAUAACACUCAGCAGAAGGGUGAGAUGUGUGGUGUUGGUGCAGACCUCUUGGGGACAUAAUGAUGGACCUGAAACCCAAGGGAAGGAGGACAGGAAAAGCCACAAUCCUGUGUACUUUACUCUGACUUACUCUUUGGUUCCAAAUGCUUUUCUUUUUAGUUCAGAUUGUUAUAACUGGAGUCAAGCUAAAACAUCAUUAACACAUGAAUGCAAAGAAAAUCUAACUGGUAUUUAGUCCAAUAUGGAGUUUGUGUGCCCAGACUCUAGAGGUGGAAACUGUUUCUUGACACAUGUAAACCCUGAGAUUUAAGUGUAGACUUUAUUUCCCAGUGGGUGAGAAAUAUAAAGUCUAGGUUCACUUCCAGCUGUCCAUCUCAAAGGGCACAGCAGCCAGCAUGCCCUCCACAGGCUUGGGCGCUCAUGCAGUCCUGAUGGGCCAUUCUGCCCAUCUCCCAGAGCCUCCGCCAGGCAGCUGAAGUGGGUUAGAAAUUUAGGACAUCAUCUGAAUUUUACUUUUCAAAAUGUAACACUAUUUAUAGUCACUUGUUCUUAGUGGUGGUGAUGGGGGUCUGAAUUUACAAGCUAUGAUGUUAUAAGGUAAUGCUCAGGUGGAGGGUGGGGUAGAAAGUCUAGUUUGUGUGUGUUCUAACAUGGUCACCUGUGUGCACUUACUGACCUAAGGAGGGCGUCUUUAGUACUUGAGCUCCUGGCAUGUGCCAGAAAGAGGUGGUGACAUAUGGAUUGGGCACUUCAGGUUGGUGCAUUUUAGUCAUUUGGGGAAUAGCUAAAGCUGUAAUUAUUUUUUAAAUAUUUUUAAAGAUAACAAAAUAAAAAUUUCAAAACACAACAGUUAGGUAUAUACAUUGGUAUUAGGUAUAUUAGGUAUAUACACAAUGUAUGUAUACAUUGUUAUAUUCAAAUCAGUUACUCAGAGUGGAAAACAUUUGCAUUUAAUUGUCCAAACAAUACUAGCACAAACCUGUCUCUUCAAUGAGCUCAGAAAAGUCAGUAGUGUAACUAUUUUUUAUGUACAUAGUUUUUUAGUUUCUCAAACUAGUGAGACAACACAAUGUUUACACAUAACAUGUCUGAUUUAUUUCACUAAUAAGUAUGGUUUCAAGUUGCAUUCAUUUAACUAUAAAAAUCUCAAGUUUAUCCUUCUUUAUGGCUGAGUAGUAGCCCAUUAUAUAAAAAUACCACAUUUUUAAAAAAUCUAUUCCUCAGUUGGUGGACAUUUAGGUUGUUUCCAAGGUUGGCUUUUACAAAUUGUGCUGCUAUAAACAUGGGUGCACAUAUAUCACUGUGAUAUAAUGUUUUCAAUUCUUCUAGGAAGAUACCCAAAAGGGAAUAGCUUGGUCAAAUAAGACCUCCAAUCCUAGAUUGUUGAGGAAUUUCCACAGUGAUUGAACCAGUCUGCAGUCUCACUAAUAGUGGAGAAGGAUUCCUUUUCCUUCACAGCCCCUCAAACAUUAUUUAUUGGUUGAUUUCUCAAUAAUAGCCAUUUUAUCUGGUGUGAGGUGGAAUCUCAGUGUUUACACCUGUAAUUAUUUGCAAAACUAUUCUUUGGAAAUUGCUUCAGGUGUGUGUAUAUAUCUGUAAUGAUGUAAAUAUGCAUAUACUUAAUAGUAUAAUUGGCCUUUUUACCCAGGCUGGGCAUCCCUAACCUGAAAUCCAAAGUGCCCCCAAGGCUAAAUUUUUUUGAACACUGACAUGGAAAAUUCAUACCCUGAUCUUUUUUAGCUUAGUGAACACAACUUUUUUUUUAAAUGAAAAAAGAACAAAAACAAUGAUACAGAAUUUCAAAACAAAAUAGUAGGAGUUUAACACUGGUUAAUACAUUGCAUAUUGCUAUCUUCAAAGCAGUUGUUCAGAUUACAAGACAUAGGCAUGAAAAAAUUAUCAAACAAUGAAAGCACAAACUCUUCUUUUUGAUGAACCAACAGAGAUUGGUAGUAUAAUUAUCUAUCACAUAUAUGUAUAUGUAUAUAUAUAUAUAAUUUUCCCUUAUUUCCUUUCUCCUUUCCCCCAUCCCAGUUGUUAUGUCUUUCAAGUAGACCACACUCUCCUCACUCUUAUAAUAUCUAUUAUACAUUUUGGGUCUUAUUUAUCUUUCAGCUUUUUACACUAGGGAGACAAUUUUAUGUUCAAAUUUAUUUGCAUUAAAUCCCCUUCAGGAAAUGUGCACAGUGUGUACACAAAGCAUAAAUGAAUUUUGCUGUUUAGACUUGGUUCCACUUACAUGAUAGCCUAUUAUGAAUAUACAAGCUCCAAAAACCUGAAGAAGUCUAAAAUUCAAAACAUUUCUGGUUCCAAGCACUUCAGAUAAAGGAUACUCAACCAGUACAGAUUUAUUAGUUAAUCCUCAAAACAGCAGCUAGUAACCUAAUAUAUAUUCCCCUUUCACUUAUUUCUCUCAAUAACCCUACAAAAUUGUUUCUGAUGUAACACUUUAUAACCAGGAAAGUAAUAGUGAACCAACUAAGAGCUGUGUUGUCCAGCAGAAUAGCCAGUAGAUACGCAUGGCUAUUUAAAUUCUUUAAAAUUUAAGGAAACUAAGUAGCCAACCCCUCAGUCAUGUUAACUUCGCUUCUUGCAUUUACUAGGACAUCUCCAUCUCCAUGAAAGUCCCGCUGGACCCCUCCGGUUCACGCAGGCUGGUGUUGUAUGCAGUGGCUGCGCUGGCAUAUGUGUGGUAGCCUGGCUGGCAGCCAGUCUCCACAAGUCACCAUAGCACCUCCCCCAGUUGUGGCAACCAAAAAUGUCACUAGACGGUGUUAAAUGUCUCCUGGUUAGAGGGAGUAAAAUCAUGCCCAUGUGAGAACAAAUGUCUUAGUCUGAGGUUCACAGCUUUCUUGGGAACUUGAGUGAGUUGCUUUGAAAAGCAACAUGGGGCUUAACUUUCCCCAUUGGUAAAAGAAGAGUUUAAAAACCAGUACAUAUUUCCCUGGGAAUUUGUGAGUGUCAGAUACUGCAGGUAAAUAGUUAGGCAGAAAAUAAAGGUCUACUGAAGGUUUUUCAGGAGUGCAGUGCUCUGCCUCUGCCCUUAUCUGAGGGUCAAGGAGAUUAGCUAAUAUGGUGACUGGCAAUUGGAGAUCAUAAUUCCUGACCUACUGCCACCCUGUGCAUGACCUUGGGCUUCCAUGUUUAGAUAAUUCAAGGGCUGCCGGCAACGACAGAUUUGAUUGAUUAUUUAGACAACAAAACCCGGAGACUUGGAAAUCCUUAAACAAACAAACAAGACUAACAGAAUACAGAAAACCAUCUCUGCUUCAUUGUCUAAAUGUUGUCGAAAUGGGUUUGCAGAAGGGAAGAUGUGACAUACAUAGGUACAAUUUCCAAUGGUGACUCUAUUUAUUAUAGAUUGCUAACACACACUAAUUAAAAAGAGGGGAAAGAGACACAAAAGAGAGAGGAUGAUCUUGAGAGCAUAUGGAAUAAUGAGGCAAUUAGUAAGAAUUUUAGUGAAAAUAGGAUCAAACAACUAAUUACAGUGAAAAUCAUCGAAAUAUAUUAAUAACUAUCAAUAGCUUAAGGGAAAUUUCAAACUCACUGUCUAAAUACAGCUUCAGCCCACCAGUGUCAGGCUCUGAUUACCAUGUUACUAUGCUGACAGAUAAGUAAAUGAAUAUAUUCCAGGUUUUCACUUCUUUUUGUCUUAAAAAACUAAAUAUAGGUGCUUUAGUUUUAUAGGGCUUAUAGGAGAAAUUGGCAGCAGUAUAUUCUUUCCUUGAGAUUUUUUCAUAGUUUUAAUAUAAGACCGAGUUGGAUAUCACCUUCUGAUUACAUAAAAUUGGCAUUGAAGUGGAACACAUAAAUAUUUAACCAUUAUUUUAUUUUUAACUGAUAAAAAGAGAAAAUCUGUAAAGUAUACAACUAAGAGAUCAAAGCAUACAACUAAGCAUUGAAGAGAAAAGUAGAAAAGACUUAUGUGCUGCUUAACGAUGAAGACACAGCCUGAGGCCUGCAUCUAAGGAAAUUUUGUUGAGAGCGGUAUAGUAUACUUACACAAAUCAAGGUAACCAUGAAGUCACUAGGUCGUCACUUUUCUGCAUCAUAGUAUAUGCAGUCUAAUUUUGAGUGCAAUGACUAUAGUUCAUUUCUUGGAUGUGUGCUUCAAUUAUUGCUGCCAGAUAUAUCAUCUAUUUAUUAGAAAUGGCUCUGGUUUACCCUUCAUUUAAUAACCAGUUUACAGUAUACCAGGCCUCAGGCUAAGAAUUAAGCAUGGCUUCCUUAUUCCAUUUCAUCUUCACAGCAAUGGUACGGAGAAUAUUAUUUCCUCUGAUUUUGCAGAUAAGAACACUGGGAAGUGAAAGGGUUUGGAUAAGUUACCAGUAAGGAAUGUUGCAAGGUUUAAAACUCAGGUCUGCAAAAUUUCCCAGUUUCUUUGGUCACUGUUUGUAUUGGUUGGUUUCCUUGCACAAAAUGCCUGAGAUAAUUCAGUUACAAAAAGAAAGGUUUCUGUUGGCUCGUGGUUCUGGAGGUUUCAGUCCAAGAUCAGGCAGCCCAUUGCUUUGGACCUCUGAUGAAGCAGCACUCCUUUGGUGGGAAUGUGUGAUGGAGUCAAACCACUCACUUUGUGAACAAUGAAGCAGAAGAGAAGAAGGGACCUGGGUCUUAUAGUCCCCAGCACUGAGUGGCUAAGCACUGUCUACAGGCUCCACCUCUUGGAGAUCUACAGCAUCUUCCAAAAGCAACGCCCUGUGGCCCAACCCUUGAACCCACGGACUUCCUUGGUCCUUUAACAGCCAGUCUGUGGCAUUUGUCCUCUGCCAGCUACUGAUCGGUAAUGGGGAAAACAUACUUUUUUGUUUGUUUGUUUGUUUUGCUUUGGAGAUUUAAACUCGGGCUUUUUCAUUGAGUUGCAUACACAGCUCUUUUUAUUUGGGGACAGGGUCUUGCUAAGUCUCUCAGUUGCCCAGACUGGGCUUAAACUUGUGAUCCUUCUGCCAUGGCUGCCCAGCAGGCUGAGAGGAAGGUAGAUUCUCUGAGGUGAAGAACCUAUAAUCAGCUUUCUCCACACCUGGCCGCUGUCCUCUAAGUACAUUUGCCACAGUGAUUUGCUCGGCCGCAUUGUGGAUGAGUCCCUCUUUACACCCUUCCUACACAAAAUAUUUUCACCUUAAUAUGACCAAUUAGCUAAAACUGCUCAAAAUUUAAUUUUUUCUCAAUUUCCUGUUCAUUGGAGAAAAAUUCUGAUAGUCAUUUUUAAAAGGAAAUGAGUUUUACAUGAAUCAGUCACCAGAAGCCCAAGAAAAGAUAUUUAAAAUAGUCUCAAAGAAAGAAGUCACUAAUUUAGAGUUACUGAAGAGAGAGAUGAUUCUGAAUUAAUAAAGUAUCUUAAUUAAAGUAUCAGUAAAAAGAGGAUGUCUUAUUAUCUUUUUGAUAUCUGACGGAUGAAUGAAUGACUCAAUCAGACUCCAGUGUAGAAAGGAUAAAAUGAUAUUAGCUGGGGAAGAACCCGGUAGAAGGCUUGUUGUGCUUACUUUGGUGCAUAAACAAGGCCAUUUGAAUACAGUUUUCCAUUCAGGUGUAGACCAGGAAAAAUGGUUACUGUAAGCUGGUGAACAUGUCUUUUGCAAUCUUUUUAUGUCAUUCUUUUUAAGGAUAAGUAGCUCAAAGAUAAUGGAUUCCUCAGACUCUACCUAGAUGAUUACAACUUUUGAAUUGUUGGGACAGAAAUUCAUAAAUUUAUCACUGAUUGUAAAUUGCCAUUGUUUGGGUGUGAUAUAUCAAGCAAGGAUCAUGGUUGGGGCUUGACCCUCAGAGUGGCACCUGGCCUCCAUGAUGAGGCCAUUGGAGUAUCAUGGCUCCAUCCUCAUGCAGCUCAGUGCCCCUGUUCGGCAUUUAGUUCUCUGGAAAGUGGCUUGUCAUAAAUGAGGCCAGCCCACGUGCUGUCCCCUUCUGCCUUCUGCCACCGUUGUAAUCAGAGGUCAGAUAGAUGGAUCACACAACCAUGGGCUUUCAGUCUGGGAGUCCAAACUGGGAAUUAAAUAAACCUUUUUUUCUCUUUAACGUAACCAGCAUCAAGUACUAGUGAUAGCAACAGAAAACUGAACUAUACAAUAGUAAGAAGUUUAAAAAAAUUUUUUUUAAUAAGAAAACAAAUUAUAGUCAUUUCUGCUUCCUUGAACAAGUCAAAUUUAUUGUUCUCCUCAUGCCAAUAACAUAUGCAACUAGAUUCUAACUUGAUAUGUGGACAUUUCUUUCUGUUGAGGGAAAGCAUUCAGCCUUAUCUGUAAUGUAUUUUAAACUAAGUAGCCAUCUAAGUGACACAGAACAGAUAGACUAGCCAAGAAAGUUCACAAAUAAUCUUACAGGAAAAAACCCCACCAUGUAAGUUAAUUUGAAUGUAUUGGGCAUAUAUUCCUCAUUAGUAACUUAACUAAGAUCUUGGGUUUUAAAACAAUAAGUGCACAAGAGGUUGCAUCCUCUGGGUCAGGAAUUGGGAGACAAUUGAGCGCUUCUGGGCUGGCAUCUCUUAUGAGGCUGCAGGCAGAGCCACCCGUGGACAGUCCCCAGUCACGAACAAGUGAAGAGCUCCUCAGAGCUCAUUCUGUGGUGGGAGGCUGGAGUCACAUGUCGUGUAGGCACUGUCUUUCUUAUUAAGACAUGUUUGUGUACUUAACAAUUUCAUUUUCCGGUCAUUUUAGUUCCCCUCUUUCCCCCUUCUCCUCUUCUUCUACUCCAAAUCUCCUUCCCAUCUGCACACAGUCUGUCCUCUUUUUUCCCCACCAUCUCUCUUUUAUUUUGCUCUUGAAGUAAUUUAUACUUUGACUUUCUCAUAUAAGAGAAAUCAUGUGAUAUCUAACCUUCUGUGUUUGGUGUGUUUUACCUAAUAUUAUGGUCUGAAGAUCCAUUCAUUUUCAUAAAAAUGACUCAAGCUUACCCUUCUUUAUGGGAGCGCAAUAUUCCACUGCGUACCAGUAACACAUUUGAUUCAUCCAAUCAUCUCUUGAUGGAAAUACAGGGUGCUUGCAAGAUCUAGCACCUUAGAAGUUGCCUACCACUUUGUGUUUCUUGUGUGCUGAUAGCUGUAUUUUCUGAUCCGCCAAAAGGUAACAGUCUCUGUAGCCUGUCCUUGGAAACAGAAGGAGAAAGCAAACCAACAAAAGAUGUUUCUAAGUCAUAUAUUGGAGCUUGGAAUUUUCCCUGUGAAUCUUUUCAAGUUAUCUAUGGAAGAAGUGAUCUAUUCACUGACUUAACUAGUCACCCAGUGCUGGCACCCUGAGAUGUGGACAUCCUGGUCGCUUCCAUGGCCUCAUGUGUGAAGCACAGAGUACCUACUCUCAGCCCAGGUUCUGGAGGAAGCUACAUGAUCCUUGAGAUGCUCCUGUGCUGAAUAAAGGUGGUCUGUGAGUCCAAGUGAGGACAGGGGAAGGCCCAGGAGACUACCGCGGACCUGUGGGGGCCCUGGCUUUCAAGGUCCCUGAGUCUCCCGUAUGCGGAGGAGCACAGCCCCUGAUGCCCCGCGUACAUGUUUAUGUUAAUAGUGCCGGGAGAACAGGCUGCUCUGGGGCUUCUUCCCAACUGCCACAUGAAUCAAUCAGGACAGAAAGAAGUUACUAUUUCCACAGACACUGCUGCUGUAGCGCAGCAAGUUUGGUGAGGCGUGGAGGCGAACCCCUGCCCCAGGACCAGCCUUGCAGGCUGACUCCCUCCCUCCUCCACUGCCCAGUGAGGUUUCGCAACACGAGGACACAAGUUUCAGGGACACAGCAUUCCCAAGUCACAAAGGUACUUGAAAUCAUCCAGUAUGCAAUCAAAGACAAGCACUGUGUGAAGAUCCAUGCCAGGGCCUUUUGCGCAGCGGCUCUGCAGCGGCAGUUUGGAAAACAGGCCCCGAACGGUGUUUACAGCCUUCCCUAUGUGCCUCCGGUGCAGCCAGAGCUGGGAAGCAUGGUAAGCCACACAGCCUCACAGCCUGAGGCAUGGAGAACCCAGACUUCCAUAGAUCCCAACGGGAGCGAGACACGGGACACAGCCUUCCCUCUCAGUCUCGGUGUCACCAGGUUGUCACUGCAUUCUGGAGCUUCCCAUAGAACUGUGUGUCCAGAUCACUUUGAAGAUACAUGCUUUGUCUGUCUCACCAGGAUGCGCUGAUUCAGAAUCUCUUGAUGAACUUACCCUAAGCAAAGGACAUUAGUUAGCCUGGUGAAAAGAAUACCAGGUUUAGAGUUAGAAAAAGUGAGGCCUGGCAAAUCUGGGAUCCAUUGGAUACAAACUGGAUUUGACUUGACCCCAAAGUUUCAUAUCCUGCCAGCUUGGUGCCCAGCUGAAAGGUGGAUAAACACUGGAGAGGUGAGAUUUUCUGAGAAGCAAUGAUGUUAGGGCUGCAUCCUUGAAGGUCUUGGUUCUUAUUUAUGGAGGAGGUUCAGUCUCAUCGGACUGGGGUUGGUACCAGCAGAGCAGGUUGUCAUGAAGCCAGUCAACUUCCUAAGGUCAUUGCCUUUUCCUCUCUUGCCCUGUGACCUCUCUUGCACACAUCACUUUCCCCUGUUACCUGUGUUCUGCAGUGUGGUAUCCUCUGCUCUGUGUGGUGUGCAGUCCUCAUCAGAUGCAUUUGCACCCUCUUAAACAUUACCUUCAGAACUACAACCUAAAUAAACCAUUUCUGUAUAAAGCA